UGGGGAAUCUUCCGCAAUGGACGAAAGUCUGACGGAGCGACGCCGCGUGAGUGAUGAAGGCCUUCGGGUCGUAAAGCUCUGUCAUCGGGGACGAACGGCUUUAUCAGGAAAUGGGUAGAGAUUGACGGUACCCGAGAAGGAAGCCACGGCUAACUACGUGCCAGCAGCCGCGGUAAUACGUAGGUGGCGAGCGUUGUCCGGAAUUAUUGGGCGUAAAGCGCGCGCAGGUGGGAUCUUAAGUCUGCUUUAAAAGUGCGGAGCUCAACUCCGUGAUGGGGUAGAAACUGGGAUUCUUGAGUACCGGAGAGGAAAGCGGAAUUCCCCGUGUAGCGGUGAAAUGCGUAGAUAUGGGGAGGAACACCAGUGGCGAAGGCGGCUUUCUGGACGGUGUCUGACACUGAGGCGCGAAAGCCAGGGGAGCGAACGGG
This 428-nucleotide ribosomal RNA is filed under the name uncultured bacterium. RNAcentral's name for it is "bacterial SSU rRNA". It matches the Rfam family "Bacterial small subunit ribosomal RNA", at positions 355 to 776 of the family's 1533-position model. The record is from RNAcentral.